Molecule: ribosomal RNA, 255 nt
Filed under: uncultured bacterium
Lineage: Bacteria
Description: partial 16S ribosomal RNA
Rfam family: Bacterial small subunit ribosomal RNA
Source: RNAcentral
UCUUUCUUUGCUGGGCGACCGGCGCACGGGUGAGUAACACGUAUCCACCUGCCCUUUACGUCGGGAUAGCCUUUCGAAAGAAAGAUUAAUACCCGAUAGCAUAAUGAUUCCGCAUGGUUUCAUUAUUAAAGGAUUCCGGUAAAGGAUGGGGAUGCGUUCCAUUAGGUUGUUGGUGGGGUAACGGCCCACCAAGCCUUCGAUGGAUAGGGGUUCUGAGAGGAAGGUCCCCCACAUUGGAACUGAGACACGGUCCAA